This 844-nucleotide long non-coding RNA is filed under the name Hordeum vulgare. RNAcentral's name for it is "long non-coding RNA (HVUL_LNC020276)". The record is from RNAcentral. Lineage: Eukaryota; Viridiplantae; Streptophyta; Magnoliopsida; Poales; Poaceae.
GAUCCUACGCUGGCACAAACUCUGCCUCACGCUUGCGAGCUGGUCCAAGAGCAAUGGCGCCGUCCAAGAAGGUGCUGAUGCUGUGCGGCGACUACAUGGAGGACUACGAGGCGGCCGUGCCCUUCUACGCGCUGGCCGGCCUGGGCGUCGCCGUCCACUGCGCCGCGCCGGGCAAGGCCCCCGGCGACCCCUGCCCCACCGCCGUGCACGACUUCCUCGGCUACGACCUCUACACGGAGCUCCCCGGCCACCGCUUCCGCGUCACCGCCGACUUCGCCGCCGCGGCGGCCGACCCGUCCUCGUACGACGCGCUCGUCGUCCCGGGCGGCCGCUUCGUGGAGCAGCUCAGCGUUGACCCCGAGGCGGUCGCGCUCGUCCGGGCGUUCGCGGCCGAGCUGCGCAGGCCGGUCCUGCUCACGUGCCACAGCCAGGUCCUCCUCGCCGCCGCGGGCGCCAUGGCCGGCGUCCGGUGCACCGCCUUCUUCAGCCUGCGGCCCGUGGUGGAGCUGGCCGGCGGGACCUGGGUCGAUCCCGAUCCCUUCAGCCUCUGCGUCGCCGAUGGCCACGUCCUGACCGCCAUCGGGUGGCCCGCGCACGGCGAGAUCAUCGCGCAGCUCCUGCGUGCCAUGGGCGCGCGAGUCCACGGCGGGCGCGGCCAGGGCGUCCUCUUCCUCUGCGGCGUGAGCUANGCCGGCGUGGGAUGCCGCGUGGAGGCGGCGUGCCCGACGAAGCGCAAGGGCGAGGCGUGCGUCACGGCGAUCUACGAAGACGUCGCCGGCGCAGCACCCGGCACGGUGAGCGACGAGAAGCGCGGGCAUAACUUCGCGAUGACCGUGGACUGGGC